AGACCUGAGCUGCGGGGACAGGAGCAGUGGCCUAACAUCUCUCCCUGGUGUCUCUGCUAUUGAAAACACUUGUCCUGAAGAUGGGGACCACCUGAAGAGAUGCCUAGGGAACAGACUCCCCUUAAAAUUUGACAAGGAUAUAUCCUGGGACCUAGGGAGCACAGACCAAGUGGGGCUAGCGUUCUCACAGAAGGACAUCGAGGUGUCUGGGAAAGAGACUUUGGCAGGUCCAGCUGUAUUCGAGCUUGGAGAUUCAGACUCAGGCUCCCAUACUUGUGUGGCAAGCGCCGUAUCUGCU
Molecule: long non-coding RNA, 298 nt
Filed under: Mus musculus (house mouse)
Lineage: Eukaryota; Metazoa; Chordata; Mammalia; Rodentia; Muridae
Description: predicted gene 15935
Source: RNAcentral